This 460-nucleotide ribosomal RNA is filed under the name uncultured bacterium. RNAcentral describes it as "partial 16S ribosomal RNA". It matches the Rfam family "Bacterial small subunit ribosomal RNA", at positions 338 to 795 of the family's 1533-position model. The record is from RNAcentral.
CCUACGGGAGGCAGCAGUGAGGAAUAUUUGUCAAUGGACGAGAGUCUGAACCAGCCAAGUAGCGUGAAGGAUGACUGCCCUAUGGGUUGUAAACUUCUUUUAUAUGGGAAUAAAACGUUCCACGUGUGGGAUUUUGUAUGUACCAUAUGAAUAAGGAUCGGCUAACUCCGUGCCAGCAGCCGCGGUAAUACGGAGGAUCCGAGCGUUAUCCGGAUUUAUUGGGUUUAAAGGGAGCGUAGGUGGAUUGUUAAGUCAGUUGUGAAAGUUUGCGGCUCAACCGUAAAAUUGCAGUUGAAACUGGCAGUCUUGAGUACAGUAGAGGUGGGCGGAAUUCGUGGUGUAGCGGUGAAAUGCUUAGAUAUCACGAAGAACUCCGAUUGCGAAGGCAGUUCACUGGACUGCAACUGACACUGAGGCUCGAAAGUGUGGGUAUCAAACAGGAUUAGAUACCCGAGUAGUC